This 74-nucleotide transfer RNA is filed under the name Candidatus Woesearchaeota archaeon. Its description in RNAcentral is "tRNA-Lys". It matches the Rfam family "tRNA". From Rfam's summary of the family: Transfer RNA (tRNA) molecules are approximately 80 nucleotides in length. Lineage: Archaea; Nanobdellati; Candidatus Woesearchaeota. The record is from RNAcentral.
GGGCCCGUAGCUCAGUCUGGUGGAGCAUCUGACUCUUAAUCAGAGGGUCGAGGGUUCAAAUCCCUUCGGGCUCA